GCGGAUAUAGCUCAGUGGUAGAGUGGCACCUUGCCAAGGUGCUUGUCGCGCGUUCGAAUCGCGUUAUCCGCU
Molecule: transfer RNA, 72 nt
Organism: Auxenochlorella protothecoides
Lineage: Eukaryota; Viridiplantae; Chlorophyta; Trebouxiophyceae; Chlorellales; Chlorellaceae
Rfam family: tRNA
About the family: Transfer RNA (tRNA) molecules are approximately 80 nucleotides in length. Their secondary structure includes four short double-helical elements and three loops (D, anti-codon, and T loops). Further hydrogen bonds mediate the characteristic L-shaped molecular structure. tRNAs have two regions of fundamental functional importance: the anti-codon, which is responsible for specific mRNA codon recognition, and the 3' end, to which the tRNAs corresponding amino acid is attached (by aminoacyl-tRNA synthetases). tRNAs cope with the degeneracy of the genetic code in two manners: having more than one tRNA (with a specific anti-codon) for a particular amino acid; and 'wobble' base-pairing, i.e. permitting non-standard base-pairing at the 3rd anti-codon position.
Source: Rfam